RNAcentral lists this ribosomal RNA (477 nucleotides) under uncultured organism. RNAcentral's name for it is "partial 16S ribosomal RNA". It matches the Rfam family "Bacterial small subunit ribosomal RNA", at positions 333 to 801 of the family's 1533-position model. The record is from RNAcentral.
ACACUCCUGCGGGAGGCAGCAGUGGGGAAUUUUGGACAAUGGGCGAAAGCCUGAUCCAGCAAUGCCGCGUGAGUGAAGAAGGCCUUCGGGUUGUAAAGCUCUUUUGUCAGGGAAGAAACGGUGAAAGCUAAUAUCUUUUGCUAAUGACGGUACCUGAAGAAUAAGCACCGGCUAACUACGUGCCAGCAGCCGCGGUAAUACGUAGGGUGCAAGCGUUAAUCGGAAUUACUGGGCGUAAAGCGUGCGCAGGCGGUUUUGUAAGUCUGAUGUGAAAUCCCCGGGCUCAACCUGGGAAUUGCAUUGGAGACUGCAAGGCUAGAAUCUGGCAGAGGGGGGUAGAAUUCCACGUGUAGCAGUGAAAUGCGUAGAUAUGUGGAGGAACACCGAUGGCGAAGGCAGCCCCCUGGGUCAAGAUUGACGCUCAUGCACGAAAGCGUGGGGAGCAAACGGGAUUAGAAACCCGAGUAGUCCCAUGAU